RNAcentral lists this ribosomal RNA (798 nucleotides) under uncultured Glomus. RNAcentral describes it as "SSU rRNA". It matches the Rfam family "Eukaryotic small subunit ribosomal RNA", at positions 314 to 1114 of the family's 1831-position model. Lineage: Eukaryota; Fungi; Glomeromycota; Glomeromycetes; Glomerales; Glomeraceae. The record is from RNAcentral.
AUCAACUUUCGAUGGUAGGAUAGAGGCCUACCAUGGUGGUAACGGGUAACGGGGUGUUAGGGCACGACACCGGAGAGGGAGCCUGAGAAACGGCUACCACAUCCAAGGAUGGCAGCAGGCGCGCAAAUUACCCAAUCCCGACACGGGGAGGUAGUGACAAUAAAUAACAAUACGGGGUCCUUUCGGAUUUCGUAAUUGGAAUGAGUACAAUUUAAAUCUCUUAACGAGGAACAAUUGGAGGGCAAGUCUGGUGCCAGCAGCCGCGGUAAUUCCAGCUCCAAUAGCGUAUAUUAAAGUUGCUGCAGUUAAAAAGCUCGUAGUUGAAUUUCGGGACCAAUAUGUCGGUCGUGCCUCGGUACGUACUGGCAUCGUUGGUUUCUCCCUUCUGACGAACCAUGAUGUCAUUUAUUUGGUGUCGUGGGGAAUCAGGACUGUUACUUUGAAAAAAUCAGAGUGUUUAAAGCAGGCUCACGCUUGAAUACAUUAGCAUGGAAUAAUGAAAUAGGACGUUUGAUUCUAUUUUGUUGGUUUCUAGGAUCGACGUAAUGAUUAAUAGGGAUAGUUGGGGGCAUUAGUAUUCAAUUGUCAGAGGUGAAAUUCUUGGAUUUAUUGAAGCCUAACUACUGCGAAAGCAUUUGCCAAGGAUGUUUUCAUUAAUCAAGAACGAAAGUUAGGGGAUCGAAGACGAUCAGAUACCGUCGUAGUCUUAACCAUAAACUAUGCCGACUAGGGAUCGGAUGAUGUUAAUUUUUUAAUGACUCAUUCGGCGCCUUACGGGAAACCAAAGUGUUUGGGUUC